Molecule: long non-coding RNA, 848 nt
Organism: Pyrus x bretschneideri (Chinese white pear)
Lineage: Eukaryota; Viridiplantae; Streptophyta; Magnoliopsida; Rosales; Rosaceae
Exons: 2
Source: RefSeq, a predicted model, not a curated record
GCAUUUACCGUUUGAGAAACUUGCAAGAACUUAUUAAUCAAGUUACAGAGAGAAAAGCUGACAGAUGGUUCAAUCAAGAUUUGAUAAAUUAACAUUGAGAAAUAUCGCCGAAUUGGUCUUCCCACGUCUUCGUUAAAAACCAAAUCCUGACGAGAAAUCUGAAGAAGAAACACAACCAAACUAAUAAGCAUAUACUUACAACGAAAAGCUGCAAGUUGGCAAGCCUAGAAUAUACACCUUUGGCCUGAUGAAAAAUAGUAGGGAUGGGGGAAGAGUUAUGGUACAAAUCUGGCAUUUACUUCUCCUGUACAUCAUGGGGAAAAAAACGGCGGUUGAAUUUAUGAUUUACUUGACAAACAUCCUUUAAGUAUGCAGAUCAGCAAACGUUAUACACUGCACAUCCCUUGUAUUGCAGGGAGAGUAACACCAGAAAGUGUAAUACACAGCUUUGGGAGACUCUUGAUUGAUCUUCUCAUCAUAAAGCAUAUUCCUCCUAGCCAUGUAAGUGAUUGUUCGAGUGGUGAGCAGGGGAAAAAGAAAAACCAUUUGUGGGAAAAGAUAAAUGGGGAAACUCUUAUAAGGAUCUAACAAUUAUUUGUGAGGUAAGACGAUGAGUCCUAAAACUGAUUGAGUUGUAGCAUUUGAAGUAUUUGGACCUUUGGGAUAUUAACUUCAUUGGGAGCAAAAUUCUAUAUUUCAUUGCUUCUCUUAAGUCUAAGGUAUCUUAAUCUCUUUUAUGCUUCUUUUGGUGGUCAACUUCCAAGUCAAGUUGGAAAACUUAGUACUUGUAUAUUAUGAUCUUACAGGUAAUGACAUUACGAAUGCUGAAAAUCACAAUUCAUGGCUUC